UUCUUAUGCCUGUCUUUACUGCAAUCUUGGAACAUAAAUUCUUUCUGGAACAAUGUCAAAAGUCAUUCAUUUGGGGGGAACUCAUUCUCUACAAGCAAACUACAAAGCCUUUGCGUGAAGACAGAGGAUAUCUGGAAUUUGAUUGUAUUUCUCACACUGUCUAGUGCUAAUUACAACACACAGAUAUUCAAUCAAAACAUAUUUGCCACUGAAAAUAUCCUCUGGUCAUUUAUUUGGCUCAACGGACCUAUAUGGCCAUUCCCUCUUCCACAGUUGUAAAGACUUUGCCUAAUUUCUGGCAACUAUAGAAGUAGUGGAAUGAACCAGAAUAUGAAGGAUGAAAAGCAUCAGGGAGAAACACUUCUUCAAAUCUCUACUUGAAGAAGACUAAGUGUUCUUGUUUUUCUUUAAUAGAAAUACAUCCAGGAAAAAAAAAAAAAGAGAAAGUGAAGUAUGUUUUAACUAAACAAGGAAAUAUUAAAGAUCGCAUAGGAUAUAGGAAACAUUUUUCAUCCAGCGUCUGACUACAAUCAUGGUUAUGCCUUAAGAAAUUAACUUAGCAAUAGAGGAGAAGACAAGUUAUAUGUAGAAGAAGAUUAACAACAGGUUGAUACAAUCACCCAAACAAGAGCCAUGAUAAGAUGUGUUUGCUUUCUCUUCACCUUCCACCAUGAUUGUAAGUUUCCUGAGGCCUCCCAGCCAUGCUUCCUGUACAGCCUGAGAAACUAUUAAUACAGCAAAUCUCAGAGAAAUAUCUUGUCCACUGUCAAACAGUUGAUAAGAAGCCAAACCUGACUUUGAGCCCAGAACUUGGAUCAUUCUCAGUGCUGUUUGGAGAAGAGUCUUUAGAAGUGCAAUGGUGGAGAAUGGAGAUCACUUAAGAUACUACUGAAAUUCUCCAAGCUGCUAGAAGUAAAGGUGCAUUGUUUACAGUAGCCAAGAUAUGGA
This 948-nucleotide long non-coding RNA is filed under the name Homo sapiens (human). RNAcentral's name for it is "HSALNT0376778". The record is from RNAcentral. Lineage: Eukaryota; Metazoa; Chordata; Mammalia; Primates; Hominidae.